UCGACCCAAGUCGUAGGUUUCUUCGUUCGCAACGGAUUAGGAAGACCGGGUCGCGUCCGUCCGUCGGGAAACGUGGAACGAUCGGGUGCUGCCCGGGACUCGUGUCGGGACGCAGCUGGCGCUUGAGUUGAUCGGGUUGGCAUGCGUGCGGUCGGCCUGCGUCGAUGCGCCCGACGUACGAGGACGGCCGCCAGUUGGGGCUUCUUGUUCAAGGACGCCGCUUCGCGGGCCCUUCAAACGACUUCCAUAACAGCGACCGUCUCAUUAAAUCCUUUCUUUUAUACUUUUUUUGGCCUGAAACAUAAAGUGAUGUUUCAUAUUUGCCCCUGCUAUUUUUACCUUAGUUUGUCCUUUCCUUCUCUAUCUCCAUUAUUAUUGCCUGGUCUCAUCAUUGGAUCAUCAUUAUUGUCCUUAGAAUGUUAUUAAUUGUUUUUCCUUGUACUCAUCUCUCUGUUGGAUGACAGAAAAAUUGGUGUAUUCGAUUCCUAAAUUAAACUAGAAUAAUUUAUUUUAAAAAAUCACUAGUAAUCACUUUUUACCUAAUAACACUCAUAAUAUUUUUUUAGGAAUGAACUGAUAGACCCCUAUUCAUUCUAUCUAAUGAUAUGGUUAAUAGAUUAAUUGGUCCCAUUCGGAUCAAUUUUUCUAAACCUCUAACACAGUUCUCCUCCUCCUCCAUCUUAGUAUUCUUCUCCUCCUCUUUCUCUUCUAUUUUUCUUUUCUCCUCCUCUUUAUCAAUUGGUGCAUGAUAUGAUAAUCUUACAUCGUCAUUAUUUUUAUCUAAUUGGAAGAUUACAUAUCGAGUUUAAUCAAUAUUUGUUGGAUAAACCAAUGUUUGAAUUUUUUUUUUAUUAUAAGACCAACAUGGUAUUAAAAAAUAGUUUAUAGUCUUCAUUUUGUGAAAAAUUUUCACCUAUAAUCAAUAAAUCAAAAUUAAUUUAUACCUCCUACACAUAUUUUUACAAGAAUAGAUUAGAAUAAGAUUUGAUUAAAAUGAGAUACAGGGUAUUUAUAUUUUAUGCCCUAAGUAAAAUGAUCACAUUAUCAAUCAAACAUCUUCCUCUUUCGUAUCAAAACAUAUCAAUAUCUAUACAUCCUUGCUACUGGAGUUCUUAUCACCAUCUUGAUUCUGCUUAAAUCUGACAAUUUGAUUGUAAAUGAAGUUUGGCUCCCACUUGUUAAUAAUCUUUAUUUCUCAUUGUUAGCAUACAAAUUGAGCAAUUUGUCCCAAAGGCUUACUACCCAUUGCCCCACAUUAUUAGGCACAUUAGCUUCUUCUGGCCCACUGGCAUUUUAGGCUACAAGUAUCUUGCUGUUUUAAGAAUCAUUUCCUCAUAUUUGUGUGCUUCACAAAUCUAUCCUCAUAAAAUUUCAAAGGAGAGUAUAAGCCCUUACCAAAUCCACUAUAGUAUAUUUUUCAUUGUCGCCUAAAGAAAAUGGAAGCUAUAUUGUUCUCAAGAAACCUUGUAAAUGGCACCUAAAGAAAAUCUUGCCCAUUUUCUACCAAAAAAUUUUUUGUUUUUUCCUAUAUAAUGUUUAGGUAUCAUAAUAAUUGAUGAAUCAAACAUGUCAUGAAAUUGCGCAUUCAUCCGAAGGAUACAAAUGGGGAUGGAGUGCCACCAUCCACCCUCAGCUUUCACUUGUGGUUUCCCCACUUGGCUCCCCUCCCAAUCGCCACAAAACAUUCCUUUCCAUCAACCUUUUUCUAAUCUCUGUUCUUUGCCGACCUAUCUUUCCUUUGGUUCCUCCCCAAGCCACGCCCUUCGCUCUCCUCCCCAUCUCUCUGAAAGGAGGCUGUGCAAAGGUUGCUGCUUUUGAAAGCUGAAUCAGGUUGGUGAUCUUUCCUUAUUUUCUUGUCUUGUUUACUCGGUCGAUGAACUCUUGGAGUGUGGCAGUAGAAGCUGGGAAGGAGGGCUUGAUGGGAAGGGAGGGUGGGCAGACCGAUGAGUUCCCCGUUGGCAUGCGUGUUCUCGCCGUCGACGAUGAUCUGACUUGCCUGAAGGUGUUGGAGGCUCUGCUGCUUCGGUGCCGAUACCAUGUGUUGUCAGUGAACAGUGAGAUCAAAAUGUGAUGAAAGGCAUAACCCAUGGCGCAUUUGACUACCUGCUAAAGCCUGUUCGGAUCGAGGAGCUCAGGAAUAUAUGGCAGCAUGUUUUUAGGAGAAAGAAGCUCCAUCACAGGGAUUAUAGCAAGUUUGAUAAUUGGGAGGAAUCUCCAUCAGAAUGAACUGUUCGGUAUGAAGAGGAAGGAUCAAAAAGAGGAAGAAGAUAAUGAUUCUGAGGAGAACAUGCAUCAGGAUGAAGAUCCAACCACUCGAGGGCUGUUUCGUCUAUCGACCGACACCAGAAGUUUGUAGCUGCUGAUAAUCAAUUAGGGAUUGACAAGGCUGUCCCUCAGAGGAUACUAGAGCUCAUCAAUGUCGAGAAGCUUACAAGAGGAAAUGCUGCGAGUCAUUUACAGGCAUGCUGUUCAAUUAUUUACAGUCAUAAUGUGUUUAGUUGCUUGCUACGAAGUUGAAGUACCUCAUGUUGUGUUUGCAGAAGUAUCGGCUUUACAUGAAAAGACUUCAGUGCUGUGGCAAGCCAACAGGCUAACACGGUUGCUGCUUUUGGAGGUAGGGAGCCUUCCCAUCUGCAUAUGGGUUCAUUGGAUGGAUUUGGGAGCUUUUAUGCAUUCAGCGACCUGCCAUUACAUCACUCCAGCCAAGUGAAGUGCUUGGGGAUUCCUACAUCAUCAGAGCUUGAGCAACUUCAACCAAAAAGAAUUCAGGAAUGGAACAGUCAUUCGCCUGGUGGUUCUUCUAGCAGUGGACAUUUUUCUUGCAGACCCAGCAGCUCUUUUGUCAAUUCGACUAGCAAUGCUCUUAUAUCAUAAACACAGCAGCAGCAGACACAUUCAUCGAUUGCUUUUCAAGUAGAUCAACAUUCAUAAGCUCAGAUCCUUUUC
This is a long non-coding RNA of Musa acuminata AAA Group (dessert banana), 2946 nucleotides long. RefSeq lists it as uncharacterized. The record is from RefSeq and is a predicted model, not a curated record. Lineage: Eukaryota; Viridiplantae; Streptophyta; Magnoliopsida; Zingiberales; Musaceae. The transcript has 4 exons.